Helianthus annuus (common sunflower) is the source of this 413-nucleotide long non-coding RNA. RefSeq lists it as uncharacterized. The transcript has 3 exons. NCBI's taxonomy places the organism in Eukaryota, Viridiplantae, Streptophyta, Magnoliopsida, Asterales, Asteraceae. The record is from RefSeq and is a predicted model, not a curated record.
AUAAUAUAUAGUGUUUAAUGAUGAUAAGAAGUGGAUUUCCUUUACUUAUUAUGCAACAGAAGCUGCCAAUUUGCUGAAUAAUUUAUCGUUGGAUCAAUCGAAAACAUUGGAAGACUCAGAGCCUGCUAACAAGCUCUCUGUUGACUCAGAGGUCAAUGGGACUGGUCAAAGUCCAAGUCUUGAUAGGUCUCUUACACCAGUGAUCCCUGAUAUUAUGGAUCCACCGGUGGCUUAUUUUCCUGCAUAUUACUAUGGAGGUUAUGAUGGGGUUACUAAUGACUAUCAACCGCACAACUACAACACAGGUUGAAAAUCAGAUGUGAAGACGAAUUUAUUAUCAAGGUCGGACCAAGCUUAUCAAGUGGUGAGCUUUUUUCAAUGGAGAUUUAAACGGGCUGCGAACUUUUUGAACA